Molecule: ribosomal RNA, 468 nt
Filed under: uncultured bacterium
Lineage: Bacteria
Description: partial 16S ribosomal RNA
Rfam family: Bacterial small subunit ribosomal RNA
Source: RNAcentral
GACGAACGCUGGCGGCGUGCUUAACACAUGCAAGUCGAACGGAAAGGCCCUGCUUUUGUGGGGUGCUCGAGUGGCGAACGGGUGAGUAACACGUGAGUAACCUGCCCUUGACUUUGGGAUAACUUCAGGAAACUGGGGCUAAUACCGGAUAGGAGCUCCUGCUGCAUGGUGGGGGUUGGAAAGUUUCGGCGGUUGGGGAUGGACUCGCGGCUUAUCAGCUUGUUGGUGGGGUAGUGGCUUACCAAGGCUUUGACGGGUAGCCGGCCUGAGAGGGUUACCGGCCACAUUGGGACUGAGAUACGGCCCAGACUCCUACGGGAGGCAGCAGUGGGGAAUAUUGCACAAUGGGCAGAAGCCUGAUGCAGCAACGCCGCGUGCGGGAUGACGGCCUUCGGGUUGUAAACCGCUUUCGCCUGUGACGAAGCGUGAGUGACGGUAAUGGGUAAAGAAGCACCGGCUAACUACGUG